UUAUGAAUUAUUGAAUGUUCCGAAGUUCUGAAAUAAUUGAUUUUUAGAAGUUUUAUUUAUGUUUAUUUAGAAAAACCGUUUUUGAGUCUCAUUAAACAUGUGUUAUGGCUGAAUUCAGAUGGUCAGGGUGGGCUAAGGAAAAUUUGUUAAAUAUAUUAAUAUUUUAUUAAAUUUUUUACUUUGGUGUUCUAAGCAUUUUCCUAUAAAUAGGAAGCUUAGGUUAGAAUUGAAAAUCAUUCCAGAAACUGAAGUUUUCUCUCUACUUCUCUGUCUAUAUUAUUGAGUGUAUUCUUGUGAGUAUUUUGAUAUCUUGAGUGUUGCUAUACGGUGCAAGUUCGUUCAGCGUUAUUCCAGUACGGCUCUUUUGAGGUAAGGGAUUGUAAGGGAUUUUAAGGGUUGUUAUAUUUUUCAUGUUUCGUAACUUUUCUG
RNAcentral lists this long non-coding RNA (429 nucleotides) under Panax ginseng (ginseng). RNAcentral's name for it is "long non-coding RNA (PGIN_LNC006878)". Lineage: Eukaryota; Viridiplantae; Streptophyta; Magnoliopsida; Apiales; Araliaceae. The record is from RNAcentral.